GCGGGGGGGGCGUGCUAUACAUGCAGUCGAGCGGACGGAUGGGAGCUUGCUCCCUGAAGUCAGCGGCGGACGGGUGAGUAACACGUGGGCAACCUGCCUGUAAGACUGGGAUAACUCCGGGAAACCGGGGCUAAUACCGGAUAACUCUUUUCCUCACAUGAGGAAAAGCUGAAAGAUGGUUUCGGCUAUCACUUACAGAUGGGCCCGCGGCGCAUUAGCUAGUUGGUGAGGUAACGGCUCACCAAGGCCACGAUGCGUAGCCGACCUGAGAGGGUGAUCGGCCACACUGGGACUGAGACACGGCCCAGACUCCUACGGGAGGCAGCAGUAGGGAAUCUUCCGCAAUGGACGAAAGUCUGACGGAGCAACGCCGCGUGAGUGAUGAAGGUUUUCGGAUCGUAAAACUCUGUUGUCAGGGAAGAACAAGUACCGGAGUAACUGCCGGUACCUUGACGGUACCUGACCAGAAAGCCACGGCUAACUACGUGCCAGCAGCCGCGGUAAU
Molecule: ribosomal RNA, 505 nt
Filed under: Cytobacillus oceanisediminis
Lineage: Bacteria; Bacillati; Bacillota; Bacilli; Caryophanales; Bacillaceae
Description: bacterial SSU rRNA
Rfam family: Bacterial small subunit ribosomal RNA
Source: RNAcentral